RNAcentral lists this ribosomal RNA (99 nucleotides) under Ictidomys tridecemlineatus (thirteen-lined ground squirrel). Lineage: Eukaryota; Metazoa; Chordata; Mammalia; Rodentia; Sciuridae. The record is from RNAcentral.
UAUGGCCAUACCACCCUGAAUGUGCCCCAUCUAGUCUGAUCUCAGAAGCUAAGCAGGGUAUCACCUCAGGACAUCUGGAAAGGUUAGAUGUUAUGAAAU